This 759-nucleotide long non-coding RNA is filed under the name Cricetulus griseus (Chinese hamster). Its description in RNAcentral is "lncRNA (ENSCGRG00015029463.1)". Lineage: Eukaryota; Metazoa; Chordata; Mammalia; Rodentia; Cricetidae. The record is from RNAcentral.
CACGGAUCUAUUUACUCAAAUGCUUUGAGAUCACUGUAUCCUGACUCCUCCUUGCCUGUCUCAAAUGCUUUGAGAUCACUGUAUCCUGACUCCUUCUUGCCUGUCUCACGGAACAGCCUCACCUUUUUCUCACACCAGUUGAAUUUGGAAGGAGUUUUAAGGACCACAUCUGCAAGCAUUUCUUCUCACCAGACUUGGAGGAAAUAGUGUUCUCUUUCUGUCAUAGGCAGAAUCAUCUGUCCCUGGUUUCCUAUCACUCUCUGAUAAAUGAUUGAGUUUUUAUUUUCUCCCCCUUUCCCACAAUGGAAUAUAAAUCUUCCAUGAUAAGCAUUCAUACCUGUUUUGUUUACUGCAGAUGUGGGAAGAUAAAGGUCAGAGAUGAUAGCAAGAUCUUUGGCCUGAGCCCUAGGAGGAUGGAGCUGCCUCUGAGUGGAGGAGUAAGGUCAUUGGUGGAACAUGUUUGGAGGAGAAGGUCAAGAGUGAUGAGAAAAUACAAGAUGCCCAAAAAAGUAAUUGUCAAGAGUAAGGAAGUCCAAGAACAGAGCUGUGGGACACUUCAAGGUCAGGAGAGCUUCUGGCUGAUAGAUUACUAUGGCCAACAUGAGUGUUUCAGUCAAGCAAGGAGCAUCGUCUGCAUCCAGUGCCUGCUGGUAAGUCACAUAAAAUGACAAGAGAAUUAACUAUUGCAUUUGGCAUCAUGAGGAGUCCAUCUUGAUGACUGGGCUAGGUACAGUGGAGGGGAUUAGUGCGAGAUUGGAG